Molecule: microRNA precursor, 118 nt
Filed under: Sorghum bicolor (sorghum)
Lineage: Eukaryota; Viridiplantae; Streptophyta; Magnoliopsida; Poales; Poaceae
Description: miR172f stem-loop (sbi-MIR172f)
Gene: sbi-MIR172f
Source: miRBase by way of RNAcentral
GCGGCAUCAUCAGGAUUCACACCGGGUAAACACCGUUGGGUGGGUGCAGUUACCCAUGCACAUAUAUGCAGGUCUGGCUCUAUCUGUUGCUUGCGUGAGAAUCCUGAUGAUGCUGCAC